This 59-nucleotide ribosomal RNA is filed under the name Rasamsonia argillacea. RNAcentral describes it as "partial 28S ribosomal RNA". The record is from RNAcentral. Lineage: Eukaryota; Fungi; Ascomycota; Eurotiomycetes; Eurotiales; Trichocomaceae.
UUGACCUCGGAUCAGGUAGGGAUACCCGCUGAACUUAAGCAUAUCAUAGGGCGGAGGAA